CCUCUCGCGUCAGGAUAUGCCUAGGUGGGAUUAGCUAGUUGGUGAGGUAAGGGCUCACCAAGGCGACGAUCCCUAGCUGGUCUGAGAGGAUGAUCAGCCACACUGGAACUGAGACACGGUCCAGACUCCUACGGGAGGCAGCAGUGGGGAAUAUUGCACAAUGGGCGCAAGCCUGAUGCAGCCAUGCCGCGUGUGUGAAGAAGGCCUUCGGGUUGUAAAGCACUUUCAGUCGUGAGGAAGGUGGUGUAGUUAAUAGCUGCAUUAUUUGACGUUAGCGACAGAAGAAGCACCGGCUAACUCCGUGCCAGCAGCCGCGGUAAUACGGAGGGUGCGAGCGUUAAUCGGAAUUACUGGGCGUAAAGCGCAUGCAGGUGGUUUGUUAAGUCAGAUGUGAAAGCCCGGGGCUCAACCUCGGAAUAGCAUUUGAAACUGGCAGACUAGAGUACUGUAGAGGGGGGUAGAAUUUCAGGUGUAGCGGUGAAAUGCGUAGAGAUCUGAAGGAAUACCGGUGGCGAAGGCGGCCCCCUGGACAGAUACUGACACUCAGAUGCGAAAGCGUGGGGAGCAAACAGGAUUAGAUACCCUGGUAGUCCACGCCGUAAACGAUGUCUACUUGGAGGUUGUGGCCUUGAGCCGUGGCUUUCGGAGCUAACGCGUUAAGUAGACCGCCUGGGGAGUACGGUCGCAAGAUUAAAACUCAAAUGAAUUGACGGGGGCCCGCACAAGCGGUGGAGCAUGUGGUUUAAUUCGAUGCAACGCGAAGAACCUUACCUACUCUUGACAUCCAGAGAACUUUCCAGAGAUGGAUUGGUGCCUUCGGGAACUCUGAGACAGGUGCU
Molecule: ribosomal RNA, 839 nt
Filed under: Vibrio neocaledonicus
Lineage: Bacteria; Pseudomonadati; Pseudomonadota; Gammaproteobacteria; Vibrionales; Vibrionaceae
Description: bacterial SSU rRNA
Rfam family: Bacterial small subunit ribosomal RNA
Source: RNAcentral